This 301-nucleotide ribosomal RNA is filed under the name uncultured bacterium. RNAcentral's name for it is "partial 16S ribosomal RNA". It matches the Rfam family "Bacterial small subunit ribosomal RNA", at positions 509 to 807 of the family's 1533-position model. The record is from RNAcentral.
CAGUCGCCGCGGUAAUACGAAGGGGGCUAGCGUUGCUCGGAAUUACUGGGCGUAAAGGGAGCGUAGGCGGAUCGUUAAGUUGGGGGUGAAAGCCCGGGGCUCCACCUCGGAACUGCCUUCAAUACUGGCGAUCUUGAGUAUGAGAGAGGUGUGUGGAACUCCGAGUGUAGAGGUGAAAUUCGUAGAUAUUCGGAAGAACACCAGUGGCGAAGGCGACACACUGGCUCAUUAGUGACGCUGAGGCUCGAAAGCGUGGGGAGCAAACAGGAUUAGAUACCCCAGUAGUCCCUGUCUCUUAUAC